ACCAAACAAUGCUCGGCGAUCGCGGCAGCUGCUCUCCAAAUGUCAGCGCCAAGCCCGGCCAAAGGGCUGGAAGGCCACCGAGCCCAGGACUUUGUGCGCUACCUUUGUCGCCCACAUUUUCCCCAAGCACUCUCAGGACCCUGGCAACAGGUAACGUGGCAACCUUUGCCUUCUAAAACGGCAAGCGGCAGGAUUUCAGAGAACAAAAGGAUUUUUUGAAAGCCAGCUGCAUCUCCCUCGCCACCCCCUCCCCCGCCCUCUCCCCCCGCCCUCCCCCUUCGCCACUCCAAGUCUGAGAAAACAAAGUAUUGCUGCGGCAGCCUGGCUCUCGAGCGUCCCCUGGUGACCAAGCUCGGAACAUCACCGAGGUACCUUUCAAGGUACAACUUCAGUCCGAGGCUCCCAGAACAAGCCCCGCACUGCCUCCUGGUGUGGAUUACACUUUACUUUUCGAAAGGAACCAUGGAGAGUAAAGCGAAAUCAUUUUGAUUCUUUUGGAUUUCUACUGUCGUAGGUGAAAGGUUUUAUUCAUCAAUUCUUUGAAAAACCAGCUAUACCCACUGCAAACCUACCAAAUGAGAGGAUGUUAAGCUGUUCAGUGGGUUGUACGUUUGGGGCCUUGUUUGGAAUUUCAAGCUCAUGUUAUGGGACUGGCCCGUGGUUGCAAUUUACACCGUUUAUCAGUAGGAUUGCUGAAGUGCUGAAGUGCUGAGGUGCCGGAAUGCGGAAACACUGGAGGAGACCCGCGCUGGUCUUUGGAUCAACAUUAAUUACCAAUAAAGAGUUAGGAAAUUGAUCACAGGGAAGGGAAGCAUGUUAAUGGCCACCGCUCAAAGGUUCAGCCCCGUUCAGUUACUGAUAACCUUGCCACGUCUCCAGAUAAAAGCCAGCCUUGUCACCCCCAGGCACCUGGCUGAGAGGUAAUAAAACUGUUGCCUUAUCUUCUAAGAGUGGAGUUGGUCCAACCUCAGUCCGAGGUAAUUACAGUAAACUGAAAUUGCCUGUCAUUUACAAAAAAGGGAAGGCGUAAGGCGGGAGAUGGUGUUUGUCUCUCUCCUUGGAUUUUAAAAAGAAAGCAAGCAAAACAGCCAGAAGUUUUCCAGGGAGUGAGAAAAACAGCCCGGCUUGGCCACCCUCUUCUGGGGGUAACGGAUUGCAGGCGGCUCAGGUCCCCGAGACGAUCUGAAAGAGAGGCUCACGCUGAUGAAAAUCCAAGCAAUCUUCUUAGUCUGUCCUUUCUAAAUGUAAAUGACAGAGUCGGAGCCCUGCUAGGGAGGGCAGGAAGUCUCAGUCUUACCCAGUGACUCAUUCAGUGCUGUUAGCUCCAGAAGCUGGAUAAAAAGUUUUAGCAAAAGCAGCAACAAAUCUACUUUAAAUACUAGCACAGUAAGGAAAUUCCUCUCUUUCAGGCCGAAUGCCAUCCACACAAUAGAGCUCCUGUCGACAUCUCAUUUACAAUCUACCCCCAGGACACAGACAGGACCAUUUCCAUAAACCCGGCUCAGAAACACCUAUUGUUCAAAAUCUUCAACUAGCCACAGGCUACCACCACUCCCUAUUGUUUUGUAAAAUAAAAGAUUUAGAAGGAGCCAGAUUGGGACCUGGAAGCUCUGAAAAGAGGAAGGAAAAAAGUCCCUUUGACCCGAUGCUGUUGGAGAACGUGCGUGAAGAAUAAAGUUAAUGGAUUUUCAUUUUUACAAGAAGUGCAUAAGCAACGCCCGCUCCCUUCCUGAACUCGUGAUCGGGGAUUCUAAAAGCAGUGCCAACGGGUUUGGUACCUGAAAAGUCAAAGGCUCUACUUACCCUAUUCUCUGUCUUACAAAAGCCCUGAUGGCAGCCACAGCAAAGCACCAGGCCUCUCACCGUUGUGGCCUCUCCCGUUGCGGAGCACAGGCUCCGGACGCGCAGGCUCAGCGGCCAUGGCUCACGGGCCCAGCCGCUCCGCGGCAUGUGGGAUCUUCCCGGACUGGGGCACGAACCCGUGUCCCCUGCAUCGGCAGGCAGAUUCUUAACCACUGCGCCACCAGGGAAGUGCACUCUAAUUUUAUUUUUAAAAAUUUGACUUAUUGAUUUGCGUAUUGAUCUGCUUGGCCUGGCACUUAUGCAAUGACUUUACAGAUGCUAAGCGUCCUUCCUGGCUUGGAAAACUCCUGUUCAUGCGUCAAGAUUCACUUCAUCUGUGUUCUGUGAGCCCCUCCUACAUGUUUCCUAUAGAAUUCAUCACACUUUGCUCGUUCCUCUUACACUGAUGCUCUGGUAUGAAAGCACAGGGAAAUUAGUGAUCAGGUAGAUCUUUGUUUCCUGUUAUACUUAUUUGUUGGAUUAAAUGAUUCUGUAUGGCAAAUGCUAUCAUACAAGGUCUCACCAAACCAGACUGUCUGUAUUUCAAACAGGUGCUCAGCCGUGGUGGCCCGGUGGUGUCUGGAAAAGGCAGUGCCUUGAAGGCAACCAGACCUGGUCAAAUCCUGACCUGCCACUUACUGGCUGCAGGACCUCAGAUGACUCAGCUCUCAUCCCUUUUCCUCAUCUGUUGAGUUUGGGUAACAGCCUCGGUGACCUCAUAGUGUCAUGAGACGGAUGAUGUAGUUAAUAUGAUGUAAGGGGACGUGGUGUGGCACUUAAUAUCUCAAACACAGGAAGGAGGCUCUCUUCCUUCCUUCCUGCAUUAUUUGUUACAACAAAAUGCCAAUAAUACAAAAACCAUCUUGAAAACUCCCGAGGAGAUUUCACUGGAGGUGGGGAGACCCUAUCCUUUCCCCAUGUUGGGGUUUCUACAGCACGAAGAGCCCUACGCAGAAGUUGCGUGUUGAGAGCACAUUUUAAGAUGCCUGUCCCUAGUGCUGAAUGUUAAAAUUUCAUCUCAUCUCUCUGGCCUCAGCUCAUAAAUCCUCUCCUUAGAGAGGCCUUCCUUCACCACCCAGCUUCGAGCAGCCCCACAUUCUGCCCUCCCAGCCGUGGAGCCACCUACUGAGAGGAGGAGAUGUGGGGAGAAAAGAAAAGGGCCUAAAAGGGCUUGCAUCUUUCCUAAGUGCAAGCCCUCCCCUCGGGUUGGGAGUUGUGGCUUGCUUGGUCCGUCUUUAUCAGCUUUGUGCCAUUGUACCCCAUCCCACCCUCUGCAGCCCCCAUCUCCUUAAAUCACACAGAUGACAGGCCCCAGCCUCUGCUGUCUUGUAUCUUGGAAAAUGCAGAAAUUGCCAUGAACUUCUGCGGUCUUGGGGGGUGGUUCCCUGUCAGUGGUUUAAAACUUGUCUUCCUGCUUUCUGUAUUACCACUCAGUUCAGAAGAGACAAAAACAAACCCAAAACAUUUUCAAGUAUGUUCUGCUUUGCCCUCAUGGUCAACGCUAAUAACUUCCAGCUAGAGGGGGCUGGAGGGCAGGAUGUGAAUGGGACCAGCUCACUCUGUUUCAGUUCAAGUACUUGAGAAUUUAAAAGCACAGACCCUCUCCAAGCACUGCUUAAGGCCUGUCAACUAAAUCUUCCUAGUUUGCCAAAGUGACUAGGUAGGAUACUAGCCCUAAAAUGAUGCACUUAAAUUACUAAAAACCUAUCAAGCAAACAGCAAUAAGUUUGCUUUCCAUGCCUGAGAGGCAGUAAUGCAUGAUAUUUCAGAAUAUACGUUUUGGAGGCAGACCUAGGGAGGUCUGUUUAAUCUGUUUAAACAUCAGUUUUUUACUAUGUGAAAUGGGAAUAGUAACCCUUGCUGGGUUGGUGGGAGGAUGAAACGAAGUAAUAUCUGAGAAAUGCUCAGACUAUUACCUGACACAUCGUAAGUGCUCAAUAAAUAGUACAUGGUAACAACAUCAACCAUUUCAUAAGGGAAAUCCCUUUGUUUUGUCUUAGCAGCCAGUAAGCCGGGUGUACCCCUGCUCCUGUGCAAAAGGCCUGUGAAACUCUGAAGCUAUACUUGUACACAGAUGUGAUCCGAUGAUGCCAUCUCAUCUCCAUGGCAACCAGGUGUCUCAGUUAUCUAGUCUGGUGCCAGGGCAUCGGAGACCUGCCACCACCAUGCUGUUCUCCGUCACUCAGUUCCAAAUUUAUGAGAUUGCCUCAGUCCCUUAGGUAUUUGUUCUCUGAAAGAGUUGGAGACCCAGGUAAAGUUCAGAGCGGCUCGUAACCUGCCUGCAGCCAACGGCAUAUUCCAAAGGUGGCUAAAACUAUAUUGUCCAUCCAACAUGGUCUUCUAGAACAGGGGUCAGGAAAAUCUAUAAAGAGCUGUACAGUAAAUAUUUUUGGUUUUGCAGACCAUGCAGUCUCUGUCCCAAACAACUCAACUUUGACAUUGUGGCAAAGCCAGAGACGAUAUGUAAAGGCACGGACAUGGCUGCCUUGGGGAGGUGAGCCUGAUUUGUUCCAAGGGUCGUAAUUUGCCAAACCUGCUCUAGAACUUUGCCACUUCCCAUGGUGAGGUGGAGUCUGCUACCCCUCCCCUUGAACUUGGGGAAGUGUGUGAUUUGCUUGUGACCGAGAGAGUACGCAGGAACUGACAGUGCGUGACCUCCAGGGCUAAAUCAGAAAAGGUGAUGCUGUUUCUCCCUUAGUCCCUGGGACAUCUGCCUGCUUGGAGCCCUGAGCCACCACAGAAGCGUCCGAUUUCCCUGAGGCCACCAUGCUGUAAGGAAGCCCAAGUCAGCCUCGUGGAAAGACCCCAUGAAGAAGCCUGGAGACUCUUAGGAAGAGGGAGAGGUGUUCAGCAGCCCCCAGUGAUCCAACCCUCCACCCACCCAACUGCAAGCUCAGAAGAGACCCUGAGCCAGAACUACCCAGCCAAAGCUCUUCCCAAAUUCCUGCCCCACAGGAACAGAAAUAGUAACACGAUUGCUGUCGUUUUAAGGCACUAAACAAAAAACUUAGAACCCUGUCCCAAAACUAGUGAGUGGCAGAUAUGGGAUUCAAACCUAGGUUGGCUUGACAUUCUAUUACAUGAUCAUUAAUCAUUCUAUUAAAUGAUUGCUUACAGCAGCCUUUUUAAAAAACGGUGCUAAAAUAUAUGUAACAUAAAACUUACCAUGUUAACCAUCUUUAAGUGUACAGUUCAAUAAGUACAUUCACACG
Globicephala melas (long-finned pilot whale) is the source of this 5054-nucleotide long non-coding RNA. RefSeq lists it as uncharacterized. The record is from RefSeq and is a predicted model, not a curated record. NCBI's taxonomy places the organism in Eukaryota, Metazoa, Chordata, Mammalia, Artiodactyla, Delphinidae.